CAAUAAGGCUGUUCAUAAAUUUUUUGAUUGAACCCUGGUUCACAGAAUUACCAGCAGAAGAAAAUCUCUUGACCAAAGGAACUACGUUAAGACAAACCUGACUUAAAGCCGUCCGUAAAACUUCGGGAGGUGUUUGGCCUAGCAUUCCUUUUUCUUCAAAUCCUCUUGUAUAUAACUUAUAACAUAUUCCUUUCUUAACACGACCCGCCCGACCCCGGCGUUGUUGACAAGCAGCUCUUGAGGCCCAAGUCUCUUUAAAAGUCACCAGAUCUCGUUCAACAUCAUAAUCAAUUUGCUUAACUCUGCCGCUGUCAAUAACGGCAACAACAUCAUCAAUAGUAAUUGAAGUCUCCGCAAUAUUUGUUGCACAUAUGAUCUUCCGCUUUGUGUAUGUUUUGAAACAUCUCCUUUGCUCCGAAGUAUUCAAAGAGGCAUGUAAUGGGAGGACCUCAAAUUUUGAGCCGUCUUUUGAUUUUAUUUCACGAAUACAACGAGCUAUGUUUGAGACACCGGGAAGGAAAACCAAUAUAGAACCACUAGAGGAACCAAGUUCAGCAUCAAUAGAACUAACAAGUCUAGAAAUAAGAUGAUAAUCAAUUUCAUAUUCUUUUUUCUUUCUUCUGGGAACGUCUUCCUCGUCAUCAUCUUCAUUUAGCUUAGGCGCAAAAUCCUCAAUGUAGUAAUCCUUGAUCGGAAAAGUACGGCCGUGAAUAUGUAAAUGACCAGCAUUUCCAAAAUAAUAUUUGAAUGUAUCGGAGUUCACCGUGGCACUCAUCAAAAUGACUUUCAAAUUUGGGAUACGAGAAAUUACUAGUUUCAAAAGUGUUAAGAGUAUAUCAUUUUCGAUGGAUCUUUCAUGUACUUCAUCUACAACAACACAAGAUAAAGUACUCAAAAAGCCUAGACCAUGUUGCUGAAUUCUUCUAAGAAGCAAACCUGUAGUGCAAAACUCAAGAAGGGUUUCUUUAGAUAUGGAUUUUUCACCAUGUACACUGUAACCAACUUCUUUUCCAACAGUUGUAUCACGUUCGAAGGCAACUCUUUCCGCCAAACUUAUCGCAGAUAUUCUC
Schizosaccharomyces pombe (fission yeast) is the source of this 1070-nucleotide non-coding RNA. The record is from the annotation of a GenBank genome assembly. Lineage: Eukaryota; Fungi; Ascomycota; Schizosaccharomycetes; Schizosaccharomycetales; Schizosaccharomycetaceae.